Molecule: non-coding RNA, 261 nt
Organism: Vicia faba (fava bean)
Lineage: Eukaryota; Viridiplantae; Streptophyta; Magnoliopsida; Fabales; Fabaceae
Source: the annotation of a GenBank genome assembly
AUGACUUUUUCUAAGCUUCUACUUUCAUCUCUUUUGCUAUCUUUGCUCAUUCUCCAUCUUGUUCAUGCUCAACAGAUAGAUUGCAAUGGAGCAUGUGCUGCGAGAUGCCGUUUAGCAUCUCGGCAGCACCUCUGCCAUCGGGCAUGUGGAACUUGCUGCAGGCGCUGCAACUGCGUGCCACCGGGAACUUCUGGUGGCCAAGAAGUGUGUCCAUGCUAUGCCAACCAAACCACCCAUGGAGGCAGACGCAAGUGCCCUUGA